RNAcentral lists this ribosomal RNA (289 nucleotides) under Klebsiella pneumoniae. RNAcentral's name for it is "partial 23S ribosomal RNA". It matches the Rfam family "Bacterial large subunit ribosomal RNA", at positions 1299 to 1591 of the family's 2925-position model. Lineage: Bacteria; Pseudomonadati; Pseudomonadota; Gammaproteobacteria; Enterobacterales; Enterobacteriaceae. The record is from RNAcentral.
GACAUAAGUAACGAUAAAGCGGGUGAAAAGCCCGCUCGCCGGAAGACCAAGGGUUCCUGACCAACGUUAAUCGGGGCAGGGUGAGUCUACCCCUAAGGCGAGGCCGAAAGGCGUAGUCGAUGGGAAACAGGUUAAUAUUCCUGUACUUGGUUUUACUGCGAAGGGGUGACGGAGAAGGCUCUGUUAGCCGGGCGACGGUUGUCACUGUUUAAGCAUGUAGGAUUGUUAUCCAGGCAAAUCCGGAUAAUCAAGGCUGAGGUGUGAUGACGAGGCACUACGGUGCUGAAGU